RNAcentral lists this ribosomal RNA (429 nucleotides) under Chloroflexota bacterium. RNAcentral describes it as "Chloroflexi bacterium partial 16S ribosomal RNA". It matches the Rfam family "Bacterial small subunit ribosomal RNA", at positions 355 to 776 of the family's 1533-position model. The record is from RNAcentral. Lineage: Bacteria; Bacillati; Chloroflexota.
UGGGGAAUAUUGCACAAUGGGCGCAAGCCUGAUGCAGCCAUGCCGCGUGUGUGAAGAAGGCCUUCGGUUUGUAAAGCACUUUCAGCGGGGCGGAAGGCGGUGAGGUUAAUAACCUCACCGAUUGACGUUACCCGCAGAAGAAGCACCGGCUAACUCCGUGCCAGCAGCCGCGGUAAUACGGAGGGUGGAAGCGUUAACCGGAAUUACUGGGAGUAAAGCGCACGCAGGCGGUCUGUCAAGUCGGAUGUGAAAUCCCCGGGCUCAACCUGGGAACUGCAUUCGAAACUGGCAGGCUAGAGUCUUGUAGAGGGGGGUAGAAUUCCAGGUGUAGCGGUGAAAUGCGUAGAGAUCUGGAGGAAUACCGGUGGCGGAGGCGGCCCCCUGGAAAAAGACUGACGCUCAGGUGCGAAAGCGUGGGGAGCAAACAGG